UGGCCUUCAUCAUCCAAUAGAGGAUGUGG
RNAcentral lists this non-coding RNA (29 nucleotides) under Mus musculus (house mouse). Lineage: Eukaryota; Metazoa; Chordata; Mammalia; Rodentia; Muridae. The record is from RNAcentral.